AACGGCGGCCGUAACUAUAACGGUCCUAAGGUAGCGAAAUUCCUUGUCGGGUAAGUUCCGACCCGCACGAAUGGCGUAACGAUGGCCACACUGUCUCCUCUCGGGACUCAGCGAAGUUGAAAUGUUUGUGAAGAUGCAAUCUCCCCGCGGCUAGACGGAAAGACCCCAUGAACCUUUACUGCAGCUUUACAUUGGACUUUGACAAGAUUUGUGUAGGAUAGGUGGGAGACUAUGAAGCGGUGUCGCUAGAUAUCGUGGAGUCAACCUUGAAAUACCACCCUGAUGUUGUUGAGGUUCUAACCUAGGUCCGUAAUCCGGACUGGGGACCGUGUAUGGUAGGCAGUUUGACUGGGGCGGUCUCCUCCCAAAGAGUAACGGAGGAGUGCGAAGGUAACCUAGGUACGGUCGGAAAUCGUACUGAUAGUGCAAUGGCAAAAGGUUGCUUGACUGCGAGACGGACAGGUCGAGCAGGUGCGAAAGCAGGUCAUAGUGAUCCGGUGGUUCUGUAUGGAAGGGCCAUCGCUCAACGGAUAAAAGGUACUCUGGGGAUAACAGGCUGAUUCCUCCCAAGAGUUCAUAUCGACGGGGGAGUUUGGCACCUCGAUGUCGGCUCAUCACAUCCUGGGGCUGUAGCCGGUCCCAAGGGUAUGGCUGUUCGCCAUUUAAAGUGGUACGUGAGCUGGGUUUAAAACGUCGUGAGACAGUUUGGUCCCUAUCUGCCGUGGGCGCUGCAAGUUUGAGGGGACCUGCUCCUAGUACGAGAGGACCGGAGUGGACGCACCUCUGGUGGACCAGUUAUCAUGCCAAUGGUAUAGCUGGGUAGCUAAGUGCGGAAGAGAUAAACGCUGAAAGCAUCUAAGCGUGAAACUCGCCUCGAGAUGAGACUUGCCUCUGGCUUUAAGCCAGCUAAAGAGUCGUUCAAGACCAGGACGUUGAUAGGUCAGGUGUGGAAGUGCAGUAAUGCAUUAAGCUAACUGAUACUAAUUGCUCGUGAGGCUUGAUCCUAUAACCUUA
Molecule: ribosomal RNA, 1014 nt
Filed under: Methylophilus sp. Leaf459
Lineage: Bacteria; Pseudomonadati; Pseudomonadota; Betaproteobacteria; Nitrosomonadales; Methylophilaceae
Description: bacterial LSU rRNA
Rfam family: Bacterial large subunit ribosomal RNA
Source: RNAcentral